GAUGAACGCUGGCGGCGUGCCUAAUACAUGCAAGUCGAGCGAACGGACGAGAAGCUUGCUUCUCUGAUGUUAGCGGCGGACGGGUGAGUAACACGUGGAUAACCUACCUAUAAGACUGGGAUAACUUCGGGAAACCGUAGCUAAUACCGGAUAAUAUUUUGAACCGCAUGGUUCAAAAGUGAAAGACGGUCUUGCUGUCACUUAUAGAUGGAUCCGCGCUGCAUUAGCUAGUUGGUAAGGUAACGGCUUACCAAGGCAACGAUGCAUAGCCGACGUGAGAGGGUGAUCGGCCACACUGGAACUGAGCCACGGUCCAUACUCCUACGGGAGGCAGCAGUAGGGAAUCUUCCGCAAUAGGCGAAAGCCUGACGGAGCAACGCCGCGUGAGUGAUGAAGGUCUUCGGAUCGUAAAACUCUGUUAUUAGGGAAGAACAUAUGUGUAAGUAACUGUGCACAUCUUGACGGUACCUAAUCAGAAAGCCACGGCUAACUACGUG
Molecule: ribosomal RNA, 497 nt
Filed under: uncultured bacterium
Lineage: Bacteria
Description: partial 16S ribosomal RNA
Rfam family: Bacterial small subunit ribosomal RNA
Source: RNAcentral